Molecule: unclassified non-coding RNA, 709 nt
Filed under: Hevea brasiliensis (rubber tree)
Lineage: Eukaryota; Viridiplantae; Streptophyta; Magnoliopsida; Malpighiales; Euphorbiaceae
Source: RNAcentral
ACAUAAGGAAUUUGAUCACACAAAACCGUAAUGUGAUACUGCCUGUAAUCUUCCCUGCUUUGGAGAGAAACACUAGGGGUCACUGGAACCAAGCUGUUCAGAGUCUAACACUGAAUGUGAGGAAGAUAUUCUCUGAUGCUGAUCAAGAACUUUUUGAUGAAUGUUUGGUUAAAUUCCAAGAAGAUGAAGUGAAGGAGAGAGAAAUACAGGAGAGGAGAGAAUCAACAUGGAAAAGAUUGGAGGAUGUGGCAGCAUCUAAGGCCAUAAGCAAUGAGGCUGUGCUUGUCUCAAGAUUUGCCUCCUCUGUGGCAAUUACAACUGUGACAAGUCCACACAGUACUGCUGGUAGUUGAUAGCCGCAGUGUGGAACUGUUGGAGUUUACCCUUGUUUGUAGUUGAAUGAUACAGGAGGGGACCUCAUUGGCAUGAUAGGGAAGAAUUUGUUUGGCUUCUCCGUGUUUGUCAUAUUAUCUCAUCAACAGGACAAGUGCAGGCAGGGUUUUGAGGGGAUCGGUUAUUCCUAUUUUUUGGGUUGUGGGCUCAUUCUGUUUCAUUUGAUUUUCUGCCAUUAAAGUGUAACCGUGUGUAUUAUAAGGGAUUUGAUUUAUAGAGGCAGUGCUUCAGAUUUCCUACCUGGUUAUUUCCUGUAAUGAUGCAAAGAAGAUUUUUCCUUCUGUGUUUCAUUACAGGAAAUAACCAGGUAGGAAAU